UACGUAGGGCGCGAGCGUUGUCCGGAAUUAUUGGGCGUAAAGGGCGCGUAGGCGGCUGUACAAGUCAAAGGUGAAAUCCCUCGGCUCAACUGAGGAACUGCCUUUGAAACUGUACGGCUUGAGGCCGGGAGGGGGUAGCGGAAUUCCCAGUGUAGCGGUGAAAUGCGUAGAUACUGGGAGGAACACCAGUGGCGAAGGCGGCUACCUGGACCGGUUCUGACGCUGAGGCGCGAAAGCGUGGGUAGCAAACAGG
RNAcentral lists this ribosomal RNA (253 nucleotides) under uncultured bacterium. Its description in RNAcentral is "partial 16S ribosomal RNA". It matches the Rfam family "Bacterial small subunit ribosomal RNA", at positions 524 to 776 of the family's 1533-position model. The record is from RNAcentral.